Molecule: long non-coding RNA, 310 nt
Organism: Alosa sapidissima (American shad)
Lineage: Eukaryota; Metazoa; Chordata; Actinopteri; Clupeiformes; Clupeidae
Exons: 3
Source: RefSeq, a predicted model, not a curated record
CCGUAGGGACAUCCGAUGACACUGCCAGGUUCAUCCAGGCAAGGGGGGAGGCAGAUCGGCUCUUCACAGGCCAGAGGAACAGUGCCAUGGAUGGCUGGAAACAGGUCCUCAGGUCUGUUGGCCUGGAGGAGAAGGUGACCCCACAACAGGCCCGUAAAAAGUGGGACAACCUUAAAAAAAAAAAACAAGGAACUGAACAACCCCCCAACAGGAACAGGGACAGAUGCUGGGGAGGACACAGCAGCCUCGUGGCCAUGGUUCUGUGCCAUGGAUGAGAUUCUGGGGCAGAGGCACUCUAUCUCCCCACCAG